Molecule: long non-coding RNA, 2374 nt
Organism: Grus americana (Whooping crane)
Lineage: Eukaryota; Metazoa; Chordata; Aves; Gruiformes; Gruidae
Exons: 4
Source: RefSeq, a predicted model, not a curated record
CAGAACGGCAGAGUUAACAGAGGCACAGGACAGAGCACCAGCAGGACAGACAACUGACAGGGAGAUGCUAGCCCUGGCUCUCCCCCGUACUGGGGGCCACGUGCUCCAAAAACACACCUGGAGGAGCCUCUUACCUAAGGGCUGCAGCACCUUAGGCACCACUAAGGCCCAGCACAAGCUCUCCCUGUCUGUGGCAGGGCCUGGGGACACUCGGGGCACCUUGGCUGGGGUCACAUUUUUGGCAUUGUGGGCUGUCAAGCUGAUCUUUUGCUUUGCAGAAGGAACACAGCCAGAAUUUCCCUGCAAGCCUACCCUGCUCAACAAUGUCCUUUACCGAAAUACCAGAGCUGUCUGCUCAGAUGAGGCUGAGGGAAAAGAGUUGAGACCCGCGCCCUGAUCUGCAACAAAACCUCCAUAGUUCUGGUUGGGAUCCGAUCACGUCUACUUUGGAGGUUUUUCAGGGUUCUAAUUAUUGUGAUGACAUUUCCCUGAGACCUCUCUAAUUCCACAGUAUUCUGGAGACUGCCUAUGUGCUGUAUUAAAAUGUGAUCAUCACCUUGGGGCUGCUCCCCAUCCUGUCCCUUAGCUCUGAUCCCAUCUGCCUCCCAAAGGAGCGCUGUGCAAGGUGCACUGCUCCGCAGCUGGCAAAACACACGGCUGUCCCAGAGCUCCUUCACCCGGAUCAAACUGCACAGCUUGGAGCCACAGGGCCUUAGCUCAUCCCCCUGACCUGGACAAACGCCUGCCUCAUUGUGUGAAGACACCAAGGUGCCUCCUGUCCAGGCCCGGCCUGCGUCAAAAGGCCAGACCACACGUCUGAUAAUGGAGUCAGCUGCUGCAGCCUGCAGUCCUGCUUCUCCAAACAGGGCUUGGGGCUGAAGAGGAGGAACCCGUUGCAAGUAGGGCAAACCACUGCGUCCUGGGCUGCAGCAGGAGGAUUUGUCUGGCCCGGAUGAGGCUUAGGGGCAUUUACGAGCAGCCUGCAACUACCUGGAAGGAGGCUAAACAGACCCAGCUCUCUCAGCCUUUCCUCAUAUGAGAGAUGCUCCAGUCCCCUCGUCAUCCUCGCAGCCCUCUGCUGGACUCUCUCCGGUAGUUCCCUGUCCUUGAACUGGAGAGCCCAGAACUGGACACAAUAUUCCAGAUGUGGCCUCACCAGGGCAGUGUGAGAAACACAAGCACAGAUCUUACCGUGAACUCAACACUGUGUCCCGAGAGGUAGGUGAGGAGAUAGGGGGUCACUGGCAGACAAGCCUCAGCCACAGCAGGGUCACUGGAGUGGGAGAGCUCAUGGAGACAGCGGGCUGCCUCCAUCUGCAAGUCAGCCAGGUUGCUGGUGAAGAGCCCGAUGAGUGUCCGGACGCUGCCGUCCAGUCUGGUGGAAACCAGAGGGUGCUGUCACCUCCUGCCUUCCCACCCUCGGCCACACACCAGCCCACCCACACAACGGCUGGGACAAAGGGCCGCUCUGGACGUGCCCUCGAUAACAGCCAUGCAGUGCCAAACUUGGGCUGACCUGACAAACUUCUGCUGAGUCUCCUUGUUCUGCAGAGCCCAGUGGAGGUGGCUGAGCGAUCUCUUCCUGUCCUCUGAACCCCUCUGCACGCCUCUGAGCAGCUCAAGAACCUAUAUGAAAAUUAAAAGAUGGGUGAAUUUCAAGCAGACUCGGAGUUAAGAUUUCAUCCCGUUAAUCCUGAAGGCAAAGAAACCCAGGGCGCAAAGACGGUCACAGAGAACCUUGCUGUUUCUCACCAUAUCUGGCAGUGACUCAGAAAACACUCACAAACCCACCUCCGCUCAGGCUCCCCCGCACGCUGGGGACCCCCCCGUCACCAUGGAGAACGUCAUGCUUUUCGUCAUGCUUUUCACCUCAUCCUCCGAGAGAGGGUCCAGCACGAUCUCUGCUCCAUCCUGUCCACCCUCCUCCACUGCGGUGUCCUCCCGCAGAAGCCGCUUGCUGACCAGCUGCUCCUGCCGCCGGGCUUUCCUGAGAGCUGUGAUCGAAUUGGGCCUGUCACCACCUGCCUAGGUCAAGACGCUUUUCCAUCCCACCAAAGAGCCUUACUCCUUUUAACAGGGAGAAGCUGCCGGUUCCUCCUUGUGUGAGACAGGGAGGGACGCGCAAGGCAGCGACUGCGUUUAGACCUUGCACGCUGCGGGGUCGGGCACUCAUCAAUGUGUGAAGCCACAGCUGGGCAAACCGGCAUCAAAGCAGGACAGAGGCGUGAGGACCAGAGCGGCCGCCCCGGCAGGGACCCAAGGCUGGUUUUACAUAGGCAGGACCUUGGAAAACCCAAACUGCAGGGAGGUGGUGGAGGAAAUGGGGCAUCCAGGGCAGAAACCCCACGUGGAUUAAUAAAAAUAGGCUGUAAAA